Gallus gallus (chicken) is the source of this 851-nucleotide long non-coding RNA. RefSeq lists it as uncharacterized. The record is from RefSeq and is a predicted model, not a curated record. Lineage: Eukaryota; Metazoa; Chordata; Aves; Galliformes; Phasianidae. The transcript has 2 exons.
GGAACAAAAGAGGGACUGACAGAUGGCAGAAGGAUGGCGGUGUGGCAGAGGGACAGAUCGGAAAGCAGAGAACUACCCUCUGAUCAGGAAGAAGAAAAGGUGAAGGCCUCAGACAACUUCAGUCAUCUGGAAGAAGCCUUCUGUUUGCAAGCCCUGAUGCUCAUGGUAGACUUUAACCACUGAAAUAUCUGCUGGAGUGUCACAGGUGAUCUAGAAGGUGCCUGAAGUGCAGAUGAUAACUUCCUAAGAUCAAGUAGCUAGUGAGGGAAAAUUCCCUUAUAGAUCUGAUUCCUAUCAACAAGAAAGAACUGGUUGAGAAUGUGAGAGCUGAGUGCAUCCUUGGCUGCAGUGACUAUGAGAUAGUGGAGUUCAGCAUCCUAAAAGUAGCAGGAUCACUAACCUGGACUCAGGAAAUAUGACUUUGCCAUCUUAAGGAAUCUGCUUGGAAGAAUCCUGUGGGAUGCAGUCCUGGAGUGGAAAGCGAUCCAGGAAAAGGAUCCAGAGACUAAUUUUCAAGGAUCAGCUCCUCCAAGCUCAAGAGCAGUAUGCCCUGUCAAGCAGAGAAUCAUGCAAAGACAACACGGUACUUGAACAAAGCACUCCUGGCAAGCCCAUUCUGAUUUCCCCAUGAAUUCUGAAAUUCUGAUUUCCCCACGAAGACUAGAGAAAUAGGCAUACUAGAGAGAGUCCAGCAAAGUGUCACAAGGAUGAUUAAGUGUUCAGAGCAUCUAUUAUAUAAGCCAAGGCUGAGAGAGAUGGAACUGUGUAGUCUGGAGAGGAAAAAUCCCAGGACAAUCUUACUAAUGUGUAUAAAUACCUGAUAGGGAAAAAAUAAAGAUGAUGGAACCAGA